Zonotrichia albicollis (white-throated sparrow) is the source of this 6729-nucleotide non-coding RNA. NCBI's taxonomy places the organism in Eukaryota, Metazoa, Chordata, Aves, Passeriformes, Passerellidae. The record is from RefSeq and is a predicted model, not a curated record.
CAGCAUCCCGGGCAAAAGAGGUGGAUUAUUCGGUACAAGCAUACCCCCUGCCGACGAGCUGGAAAAACACAGCUCUCCGGACAACACACCCUCCCCCCGAAAAAACCAACCAAACCCAAACCAGCUACAGCCAUGGGAUGGACCCGGGCGUGGGGGGGCCGGGGCAGCCCGGAGGUGAAGCCCGGCGGCUGGAGAAGGGCCGGGCCCCGGCAAGGGGUUGGAGCCGGGAGUCGCCCACAACAGGAGUGAAACACCCGCCCAGCCCGUCUCACCAGGCCCGGCAUUUACAAGUUUUUCCUCAAGAGGUUUGCGGUUUCCAGCCUUUCCCACCCGGCCCCUCCGCGCAGCACCCGGGACCCCUCUGAGCGCCUCCAGCCCCGCAGGCGGGGCCGUGCCCGGGGCAUCCCCGGGGCUGUUUUUUUCCGAUGCUUGCGGCUGGAUUGCACUUUCCCCUCCGCUGUUUGCUUUUCUUUUCUUUUUGUCUUUUUCUUUUUUUUUUUUGAAUUCUGCUCCCCCCGCUGCGCGGCUCCCCCCGCAGUGCUGCCCGCCCCGCCAAUCCGGGCCCUGCGGGGCUGGGGGCUCCGGCAGCGCCUUUAAAAGCGGAGCCCUUUGUGCGCCGGAGCCCCGCACCGGCAGCUGCCGGGAUAUACCGUGCCGGGAUAUACCGUGCCGGGAUAUACCGUGCCGUGCCGCCGCCGCCGGGAGGAGCCCUGGACCUCGCUGCACCGGCAGCCCCGGAACCGAGCAUCCCCCCCCUCGGCAGGUAUUUCAUCCUCCCCCCCUGCACCCCAAUAAAUGUGCCUGGCUUGCCCCGCUCGCCGAUUUGCCGGGUCUGGCUUGGUCGGCUUUUAUUAUUUAUUUACUUCUUUUUUUAUUUCCGUUUUUUUUCCUAUACCCGUCUUCCUUCUCUCCUCCCUCGCACCCGCUGGGUUGGGAUGGUGGGGCUGAGGCUGCUGCGCUGGUGGCACUGGAGCAGGCUGAGGUGACAAGGCUGCUGGAGCCGGGAUGCUGCCCGCUGGUGGAUGUGUCGGGCUCGUCGGGGACAGCUCAGUGUCACUGCUGCUGAGGGUGGGGGUCCUUCCAUGUAAGGCUUCAUAACAGCUUCAAGGGACAGUGGGACUGCUGCAGGGCCUGGAUGGAGAGAACUCCCCUCUGCUCUGGAAAAGUGGCACUGGCUGCAAGCAUGAAAUGAGAGGGACACGGGAAGUGACAGCUCUGAGUGACAGCCACCACCAAGCACAGCAGUGUGGCCGGCCCAGCAGCAUGUCUCCUUCCUGCAGACCAAGCCACAGGUGAGUGGGAUGUCACCUACCCAACACAGGAGCAGAGCCCAGCCCUCAGAGCAGUCUCUGGUAUGGUGGGAGGGAACAAACCUGGCCAGAGCCUGGCAUGGGGAAGAAAAUUGGUCACAGCAGCUGAAGGUCCCCAUCACCACACACUCUGCCCCAGUGCCACCUGGAAGUUCCCUGACAGGCAGAUUCCCUCUGGCACAAGCAAAGCACCAGGGGGUAAAUGCCCUUGUGCCAGGAAGAUGAGAAUCCCAGCAGGAUGGGAUGUGAACAGGAUAAAUGGCCUGUAAUGAUCCUGAAAGCACCUUUGGGUGACAGAGGCCAGGUGCCUGUGACACUGACUGGCAAAACAUUGUUCCAGUGGCACAUGGUAACUGUUUCUGCUCCUCCAGUAUGGUGCUAAGGCUGAUCCCCCCUGCCCCUCUCUGGGCCCUGGCUCCUGCUGCUGCCAUUUAUCCCUGUGCCCUCCUUCCCAGCUGCCUUCCCGUGCUGCAGGGAGGAAGAGCACAGCUGAAAAUACACCUACUGUGUCCCCCUUCCUGCCUGUUUGCUUCCUCCCCUCCUGCCUUUGCCUUUCAGUGCAGCUUCCCAAGAAAAUAAAGGUCACAGCCUCACACUUUGCCUAUACACACACACACAAACACACAAACACACACACACACGUGUGUGUGGCUGGGAUCCUUCUAAUAAACUUUGACCACAUUUCCAUCCCUGUGGACAGAGGGGCAGCGACCUGCAAACAUGCUGAGGUCAACGGGGCUGGCAAAAAUGUGCAGCUGGGAGAGGGAGAGAGAGGCUUUCCCUUCCUUUAGCACAGUCAGGCUGCUCCACUGCUCAAGCCCUUAAUGGACAGGGGAGAAGCCACACAUGGCGCCCCCAGCACACCCCUCCUGCAGGAAGGGCUUUGAUCAGGGUUCACACCUGAGCUGUGCUGCUGGGGGAGCUCUCUGGGGUCCCAGGGCAUGACUGCCAGCCCCCUCACCUGGGGUGGGCCCUGACAGACUCAUCCCACAGCCAUGGGGCUCCCAGUGCUGUGCCUAAAGCCACAGGCUGGCCCCUGAACCCCUGUCAGCCACAGCCUGCACUCCACACACCCCAGAGAAGCCAAAUUCCAGAGGCAGCAAGGUGACACCAAAUGUGCUCAUCUCACAGCUCCCCCACUCCAUUCUCCCUCCAAAAAAGGCACAACUGCCCAAAACUUCCAGCAGAAUCCACCUAUCAGAAUUUAGGCUGAGAACACAGGGGUUGGAAUGAUUUAUCUGACAGUUUUCCUGAAAGCUCCCUUCCGGCCUUGGUGUUGUCGCUGUGUUUCUAUGUUCUCUCAGCAGUGGGGUGCCUGGGGUGAUGGGGGCUCCAUCUGGAGCUGCCCACAGGCUGGGGACAAUGAGUGGGUAACUCACAGUGCCUCGUGGGAUGCUCUUCCUUCACUUUGUUCAGUCUAAAAUGUAGUUUAAUUAUUAAAAUACCCUUUGGGAAGAGCUUCAGGUUGAGCAGGCCAAGCACAAAACCCUCUCAGACUCUGUGGCAGUGGGGGACUCAAAGCACCUUCACUGCUUGGUGAAAAUGUGACUCCUGGACACGGCUUGGUACAAGUGUCCCUUUCUGUCCCAAGGCUGCAGGCAGUGCUCCGGCGGGAGCACAGAGGCACUCGAUGGGGAUCAAGCUCACCUUCCUGACAUGUAAUUCCUCUGGGGCAGUGGCAUCUACUUGUGGGCAAGCAAGGGCUGCAGGGCAUGGGGGGAUGCUCCCCUAAACUCGCUGCUCCACAGGGCAGGCAUGGUGCCCGCAGCAGCCACCCAGCACGAGCCAGCCAUCCCUCCGCCCUUCCUUCCCUGCUGUCUCUCGAGCUCCAAAUGGGGUUUAUUGUGUCCUGGUUUGCAGGCCCGGGCCGUGGCAGGGCUCUGGGGGCUGUGUCCCCCCAGCCCGGUGGGGCUGAACCUGGCCAGGGGACAGGCACAGCUCUGCCCGCUCGCAGCUUUGGCCGCCGGCCCUUAACGCUGGGGGUUUCUGCUCCUUAUCGCCGGGACGUGGUUUAUUCCCAGGAAGGAAGUCAGGCAAAAGCACGCUAUUAAAAUGCUCCAGUGGCCUUUGCAACGGGAAGCCCUCGGGCUUUGCCAAGCAGAUGCCUCAAAUUAGGGUAGGGGGAUGCAAGGAUCGGCCUUUGAGCGCCGGGAGGCUGCCCCAGUGCCCCACUUCGCCUCCCUCCCCACUGAGGCAGCCCGGGGGGGUCCCUGGGCGGAGCAGAGGGGAGCGGGGGGCCCCGGUUGUGUGGAGGAGGCAGGAAGGGCAGAUUGAGUUAUCUCUGUGCCGGGGGCUGAGGGCGGCGCUGCGCUGGCACCCGGCCCGCGGCAAUUACUGCAGCGGCAUCGCUCCGUGCGCGGCGAUGAUGCCACGCUGCAGGAAUGGCAGGGGUGGCUCGCCUCUGUCCCCGGGGCUCCGCGAGCCGCCAGGCUGGGACCGGGCUCAUUCAGCCGUGUCCUGUGUCCGGUUCACCCGGCCCUGGUGGGGGGUCCCGAACCUUCCUGGCGGUGCGCCCCGGGAUGGUGCUGGUGCUGCUCGGGAUGUUCGCCCUCCCGGCUGCGGACAGGGAACUUCUGCCUUGAAGAAAGUGUGGGGACAUUGCUGUGACCUGGUGUCCUGGUCCCUUGCAUGCUUUAUGGUCGUGAGCAGGAUCGAGCUCUCAUUUCCACCACACACUGCACAUUCCUGGUCUUGGCGGUCACAGAGGCCAAGAAAAUGGACCUGAAGGUGAAAACAACUGCCUUGCCUACCCCUCUCCCAGGGGAUUGUAGGCAGCUCUAGUGUGGGAUGUGGUGUGGCACUUUCCAGCCUCUCCUCAACCAGAAUUCACUUCUCUUUCCCCAACUAUAAUAUUUAUUUCUCUUCAAAAAAUACCACUCCUGCCAUUCUCCUGCCCUGUGAUACCCAGGCAGCAGAACACAGUCCCUGCCACACUGUGACAGCUAUUUCAUCCCACUGCCCUCACUCUGUCCUGCCACCCAGUUGCCCUGGGCUCCCAGUUGCCCUGGUGGAUACUGAGAUUGCAGCUUUUGGUGAGCUUCCCUCCCUCACAGCCCAGGGUGCUGGCUCGGACGCCCAAAGCUGGGAUGCUCACACAUCUCUGUCACCAAGGCUCUUCUCCAGCCUUGCCUCUGGGUCAGGGUUUGCUGUUGCUCUGCUUCACAGAAGGACUCAAACCCCAGCACUCAUCCAGCACUCAGGGCUGCCCCCUCAAUCAUAUUUCUCUUCUUGCAGACACUCAUUAGCUCUGCUGCCUGCUGACCAUCCCUUGGGAUCUCCACAGGGGGACAGCCACCCGCCACCCAGCCUGCUUCUGCUGCAGCCUGCAGGGCAGCUCCCACUGCCCUCAAGUGACCUUGUUUGGGGCCUGAUGGCUAUUAAUCCAUACUCAACAGUCCACUGGGUGAACAGGCCAGCUGCUGCUUGAGGGGUGGAGAGGCAUGAGGAUAGUCAAGAGGGAGCUGCUCCUGGACAGAUCCAAACCAGGGCUAGAGAUGCAGGGACAGCUGAAGCCUGUAUUGCAGCAUAGCAGAGCAGCUGGAGAGCGGGGAAGGUGACCCUGGUCCCCAGGGCCAGCACCCGGCCGUGUGCUGGGGAUGGGCUCUUCCCUCGUGCUCCCAGGCGCUGCUGCAGGAGGCAGCACAGUCCAGACACAUCCCAGCAGCACAGGGCACAGGCAGGCCAGCGGGUUCAUUGCCAUGCUGAGCUCCUGCGCAGGCAGGGGAUCAGAACGGAACUGAAUAUUUAAUGCCGACAAAGUGCCUUGAUGCUGGUGGCUGGAAGGCGCCAGGGAGGGCCGGGAGCCGUGAUCAGGGUACUGCUCACUGUGCACAGCUCACGCAGGGCAGGGCGGCACCAGCGCGUCCUCUGCCUUGGUGUUUUGUACCCUCAGCUGAUGAAGGCAGAUUUAUGGGUCAAUAGCCCUGACUGGCACCCAGCAAGAGCACCAUGGGGUAGAGUAGUGGGGCACAACAGGGGCUGGGGGCUCAUGCUGAGGAUGGCACCAGGCACUGGUCCCAGCCCGUCUGCAGGUGAGCUGUGCUCUGCACUGCUGCUUGGAUUGGUUUCUCCUUGGAAGGAUAUGGCGGGGAGGGGGGCAAUGCAAGCCCUAUGCAAGGGGAGAUGUUUUGGUUGCACCCAGCUUAAAGAAUGAGUGGUGCCCAAAGCCAGGGUGAGCUGGGAAUGACUGGUGUGUAAUGGGAAGUGGAAGAGACAGGGCUGUCAUUGCCAGGACAAGAUAAAUCUAAUAGGGGGGACAGAAUAAAAAACAGGUGGAAUACGAGGGAAGGAGUCAGGAAUGCCAUGGGCUUCAGAGGACAGGAUGAGGCCCUUGCAGGGGAUCUGUGGCAAGGAGGGCUGGGCAGGGCCAGGGAGCAGCAUCCCAAAAGCCUCCUGCAUCCCCAGCCACACAUGCCUUCCAGUGCCACCAUUCCCUCCAUUUCCCCUCCCUGGGGCACUUGGGGCCAUAUCCAUGGGCACAGGGGACAGGACAGAGCAGCAGGGACCCCAGGCUCUCCUCUCAGCCCUGAUGUUGGCUUCAGUGUGACCAUUGACGGGGGCACAGCUGGAACUGAACUACUGGGGAGAGGAAGAAUGUCUGGGGACCCUGCUGCUGGUGCCCAUGGCGGUCUGGUCCAGCCUGCCUGUGGGCUGGGGCUGUGCCCGGUGCCAUGCACCACAGUCCCUUCUGCUUGUCCCGUGAUUCACUCUUCUGCCCUCACAAUGAGGGAAAAAAUGGGGAACACAGCCUGGACGUACAACGUGGCUGCCAGAUGUGUGUGCCCCCAUAUGCAUACUGACACCCCCCUGAGCCACACACAGGCUCCCACGUACACCCCCCUGGUGCUGAUGUGCACACUUGCACACACUCUUGCUGUCACACCCGCAUAGCCUGGCACCCCCACAGCCAUGCCAGCACACACAGUGCCACAUGUGCAGAGACACACCUGCACUGUCACACCCGGGCACAUGGCCACCUGUGCCGGCUGUCCUGCCACCCCGCACCCACAGCCCAUCACAUGUGCCAUGUGCUCUCCCAUGUGCACACCCUGCCACAGCGGUGCCCCACUCUGUGCACACGUGGGCACACCGGCACACAGGGGUGCGCACACAGCCCCUCCCCGAGCCUCCCUUGUACGGUGCUUUGGGACCACCGCCGGAUGGCUGAGCCCCCGGGACGUGCUGCUUCUACCGGGCUGAGACCGCCACAAACUCAUCACACGUGGAUUCGGGACAGGUCUGAAAUGACGCCGCUCGUCAGACACAGCCCGGCAUGGCGGGGGUGCCGGCGGUGCGGUGGGACCGAGGAACACGCGUGCCCGGCCGCGGGGCACAGGCGGACGGGGGCUCUUUGUUCCUGCCUCCGCCGGUCCUCCAUGAUGUGGAGAGGGCGCGGGUGAGGCCGGCGCUGCGAAAUGGC